This 135-nucleotide small RNA is filed under the name Syntrophomonas wolfei. Its description in RNAcentral is "c-di-AMP sequence". It matches the Rfam family "c-di-AMP riboswitch aptamer (ydaO/yuaA leader)". From Rfam's summary of the family: This family represents a conserved RNA structure found upstream of the ydaO and yuaA genes in Bacillus subtilis and related genes in other bacteria. The record is from RNAcentral. RNAcentral also lists the same sequence under 1 other name. Lineage: Bacteria; Bacillati; Bacillota; Clostridia; Eubacteriales; Syntrophomonadaceae.
AUUAGAUUCAUGCCGAAUCCAGUUAAAUAACUGGAACGGGGGAACCAAUUUUGGGGUGAAUCCGGCUUUUGCUGGUAGGGCAAUCCCCUUGCCCGAAUCCGUCAGCUAACCUCGCAGGCUUUUGGGGGAGGGUAU